Molecule: long non-coding RNA, 689 nt
Organism: Hippocampus zosterae (dwarf seahorse)
Lineage: Eukaryota; Metazoa; Chordata; Actinopteri; Syngnathiformes; Syngnathidae
Exons: 3
Source: RefSeq, a predicted model, not a curated record
UUUGUGCUAUGUAUAAUAUGCAUUAGUUCAUUUGGACAGGUCAUGUAUUUGAAUACUGUGAACCCACUUUGAUUUCAAAACAGAUCCGAGGACCACAGGAUAUUAAUAUGCAGGCUGAAAUAUUUGCCUUAUCAGUGUAUAUAACAGGCCUGCCCUCCAGGAAUUCACCAGAAUAUCCAUAUUCCCACUCUGGGCCUGCCUAUUAAACAGGAUAUAAUUUGUGAUUAAAAAAGAUUUAAUCACAAUCUUUUUUUUAAAGGGAAUUGAAAAGAGCAAGAAGAACGCUGUCAUCGAAUCAAGUAAUAAAUUCAAAGCUGAUCACGCAGAGGAAAGAAGAAAAGCUGAGGAGGAAAUGCAGAAUGUAAAACAGCAUAUUUUGGAUCGAGACAAAGCUGUAUGCAUUUUUGCUGAUCCAAGCUUUGCAGAAGUUCGGAGGUUGUGUGGUAUUGAUGCUGCGCAGUAAGGACACCUCAAAAACAACCAAUGCUCACAGUGAACUUGAGUAGGAGCCAUGCAGGGCUGCAUUUUGUACAGUUGCGUGGUUACACUAAAUCCUCUUUGGUGUUAAAAUUAAAAUUUUGAUACAGCCAAAUUGCCAACGUUUUGCUCUGUUGUUGUGUGUGAUUGUUAGAAUCUUUCAUCUUUUUUGUGUGUGUAGCAGCAAAAUAAACAUACGGUAACUAAAAAAA